ACUGCUUUUCAGCCUUUGGCUAAGGUCAAGUGUAGUGUCUGCUCUUACCAGUUUCAUACCUGAUACACCCUCUGUCCCAGGACAAGAGGGUAAGUGGGUUUCUGGAGCAGAGAGAUGGAAUAGGAGCUCUGUCCGUCCGUCUGCUCCACGCAUCGACCUGGGAUUGCAGUAGUAAUGGUGCAUCCCCG
Small nuclear RNA from Suricata suricatta (meerkat), 188 nucleotides. Its record names the gene U2. It matches the Rfam family "U2 spliceosomal RNA". From Rfam's summary of the family: U2 is a small nuclear RNA (snRNA) component of the spliceosome (involved in pre-mRNA splicing). The record is from Ensembl. NCBI's taxonomy places the organism in Eukaryota, Metazoa, Chordata, Mammalia, Carnivora, Herpestidae.